This 714-nucleotide ribosomal RNA is filed under the name uncultured Pseudomonadota bacterium. Its description in RNAcentral is "bacterial SSU rRNA". It matches the Rfam family "Bacterial small subunit ribosomal RNA", at positions 69 to 773 of the family's 1533-position model. Lineage: Bacteria; Pseudomonadati; Pseudomonadota. The record is from RNAcentral.
GUAACAGGAAGAGCUUGCUUCUUUGCUGACGAGUGGCGGACGGGUGAGUAAUGUCUGGGAAACUGCCUGAUGGAGGGGGAUAACUACUGGAGACGGUAGCUAAUACCGCAUAACGUCGCAAGACCAAAGAGGGGGACCUUCGGGCCUCUUGCCGUCGGAUGUGCCCAGAUGGGAUUAGCUAGUAGGUGGGGUAACGGCUCACCUAGGCGACGAUCCCUAGCUGGUCUGAGAGGAUGACCAGCCACACUGGAACUGAGACACGGUCCAGACUCCUACGGGAGGCAGCAGUGGGGAAUAUUGCACAAUGGGCGCAAGCCUGAUGCAGCCAUGCCGCGUGUAUGAAGAAGGCCUUCGGGUUGUAAAGUACUUUCAGCGGGGAGGAAGGGAGUAAAGUUAAUACCUUUGCUCAUUGACGUUACCCGCAGAAGAAGCACCGGCUAACUCCGUGCCAGCAGCCGCGGUAAUACGGAGGGUGCAAGCGUUAAUCGGAAUUACUGGGCGUAAAGCGCACGCAGGCGGUUUGUUAAGUCAGAUGUGAAAUCCCCGGGCUCAACCUGGGAACUGCAUCUGAUACUGGCAAGCUUGAGUCUCGUAGAGGGGGGUAGAAUUCCAGGUGUAGCGGUGAAAUGCGUAGAGAUCUGGAGGGAUACCGGUGGCGAAGGCGACCCCCUGGACGAAGACUGACGCUCAGGUGCGAAAGCGUGGGGAGCAAAC